CCUACGGGAGGCAGCAGUGGGGAAUCUUAGACAAUGGGGGCAACCCUGAUCUAGCCAUGCCGCGUGAGUGAUGAAGGCCUUAGGGUUGUAAAGCUCUUUCAGCUGGGAAGAUAAUGACGGUACCAGCAGAAGAAGCCCCGGCUAACUCCGUGCCAGCAGCCGCGGUAAU
RNAcentral lists this ribosomal RNA (169 nucleotides) under uncultured bacterium. RNAcentral describes it as "partial 16S ribosomal RNA". It matches the Rfam family "Bacterial small subunit ribosomal RNA", at positions 338 to 524 of the family's 1533-position model. RNAcentral also lists the same sequence under 1 other name. The record is from RNAcentral.